UGGGGGAUAUUGCGCAAUGGGCGAAAGCCUGACGCAGCGACGCCGCGUGGGUGAUGAAGGCCUUCGGGUCGUAAAGCCCUGUCGAGGGGGACGAAUCGGUCGCGACCUAACACGUCGCGAUCCUGACGGUACCCCUAAAGGAAGCACCGGCUAACUCCGUGCCAGCAGCCGCGGUAAUACGGAGGGUGCUAGCGUUGUUCGGAAUUACUGGGCGUAAAGCGCGUGUAGGCGGCCCGCUAAGUCUGAUGUGAAAGCCCGGGGCUCACCCCCGGAAGUGCAUUGGAGACUGGCGGGCUAGAGUCCCGGAGAGGAGGGUGGAAUUCCUGGUGUAGCGGUGAAAUGCGUAGAUAUCAGGAGGAACACCGGUGGCGAAGGCGGCCCUCUGGACGGUGACUGACGCUGAGACGCGAAAGCGUGGGGAGCAAACAG
Molecule: ribosomal RNA, 429 nt
Filed under: uncultured bacterium
Lineage: Bacteria
Description: bacterial SSU rRNA
Rfam family: Bacterial small subunit ribosomal RNA
Source: RNAcentral